RNAcentral lists this ribosomal RNA (479 nucleotides) under uncultured bacterium. Its description in RNAcentral is "partial 16S ribosomal RNA". It matches the Rfam family "Bacterial small subunit ribosomal RNA", at positions 28 to 507 of the family's 1533-position model. The record is from RNAcentral.
GAUGAACGCUGGCGGCGUGCUUAACACAUGCAAGUCGAGCGAGAAGUUUUGAAAAGAUUCUUCGGAUGAAAUUUAAAAUGGAAAGCGGCGGACGGGUGAGUAACGCGUAGGCAACCUGCCCCAUACAAAGGGAUAGCAUUUGGAAACGAAUAUUAAUACCUUAUGAAACUUAACUAGUGCAUGCUAGGUAGGUCAAAGAUUUAUCGGUAUGGGAUGGGCCUGCGUCUGAUUAGCUAGUUGGUGAGGUAACGGCUCACCAAGGCGACGAUCAGUAGCCGACCUGAGAGGGUGAACGGCCACAUUGGAACUGAGGCACGGUCCAAACUCCUACGGGAGGCAGCAGUGGGGAAUAUUGCGCAAGGGGGGAAACCCUGAUGCAGCAACGCCGCGUGAACGAUGAAGGCCUUUGGGUCGUAAAGUUCUGUUCUAGGUGAUGAAAACUGACAGUAACCUAGGAGAAAGCCCCGGCUAACUCCGUG